UCAGCUUCUUCGAUCUUCUAACUCCCGUUUCUGUUCGUUCAUAGAGGAUGCCUGAUGGGGAGCAAUGGAGGACCCACCAUAGGAUUCUCGCCCCUGGGCUGAGAUGGAAGAUGGACCUGUGAACACUUCUCAGCCCAUUUAUCCUAUUGCAUGAACCAUUAUCACAGGCAGGUAUAUAUCUCUGAAUGUGAGUACAGAGAAAAGCAACAGCAACAACAUUCAAGACUAUUAAACACGCUGGCAACUGUGCAGUCGCUGGGAAGAGGAUAAAAUGGAGGGAAUAAACCUCAGCUUAUCUGAUGUAUUUGUACUUUUA
RNAcentral lists this long non-coding RNA (316 nucleotides) under Capra hircus (goat). RNAcentral describes it as "lncRNA (ENSCHIG00000000783.1)". The record is from RNAcentral. Lineage: Eukaryota; Metazoa; Chordata; Mammalia; Artiodactyla; Bovidae.